Molecule: unclassified non-coding RNA, 253 nt
Filed under: uncultured Anaerolineae bacterium
Lineage: Bacteria; Bacillati; Chloroflexota; Anaerolineae
Description: contains 16S-23S intergenic spacer region
Rfam family: Bacterial small subunit ribosomal RNA
Source: RNAcentral
UACGUAGGUGGCGAACGUUAUCCGGAAUUACUGGGCGUAAAGGGUCCGCAGGCGGAAGGGAAGGUCUGACGUGAAAGCUCCCGGCUCAACUGGGAGAGGCCGUUGGAAACCACCCAUCUUGAAUCUUGCAGAGGCCGGCGGAAUUCCCGGUGUAGUGGUGGAAUGCGUAGAGAUCGGGAGGAACCUCGAAAGCGAAGGCAGCCGGCUGGGCAAAGAUUGACGCUGAGGGACGAAAGCGUGGGGAGCGAACAGG